GACGAACGCUGGCGGCGUGCUUAAUACAUGCAAGUCGAGCGGGGUUACUGCGACAGAUCCCUUCGGGGUGACGUUGCUUUAACCUAGCGGCGGACGGGUGAGUAACGCGUGGGUAACCUACCCUAAAGCUCGGGAUAACAGUGGGAAACCGCUGCUAAUACCGGAUGACUUUAACCUAUGGCAUCAUGGGUUAAAGGAAGAUUUAUCGCUUUAGGAUGGGCCCGCGUCCCAUUAGCUAGUUGGUGAGGUAACGGCUCACCAAGGCGACGAUGGGUAGCCGGCCUGAGAGGGUGUACGGCCACACUGGGACUGAGACACGGCCCAGACUCCUACGGGAGGCAGCAGUAGGGAAUAUUGCGCAAUGGACGGAAGUCUGACGCAGCGACGCCGCGUGAGCGAUGAAGGCCUUCGGGUCGUAAAGCUCUGUCCUUGGGGAAGAAGGUCUUCGGACUUGACGGUACCCAAGAAGAAAGCCCCGGCUAACUACGUGCCAGCAGCCGCGGUAAUACGCAGGGGGCGAGCGUUGUCCGGAAUUACUGGGCGUAAAGGGUGCGUAGGCGGCCCUUUAAGUCAGAUGUGAAAGGCCACGGCUUAACCGUGGGAUUGCAUUUGAAACUGGAGGGCUUGAGUGUCGGAGAGGGUAGUGGAAUUCCCAGUGUAGCGGUGAAAUGCGUAGAUUUUGGGAGGAACACCAGUGGCGAAGGCGACUACCUGGACGAUAACUGACGCUGAGGCACGAAAGCUAGGGGAGCAAACAGG
Molecule: ribosomal RNA, 759 nt
Filed under: uncultured bacterium
Lineage: Bacteria
Description: bacterial SSU rRNA
Rfam family: Bacterial small subunit ribosomal RNA
Source: RNAcentral